Molecule: ribosomal RNA, 492 nt
Filed under: uncultured bacterium
Lineage: Bacteria
Description: partial 16S ribosomal RNA
Rfam family: Bacterial small subunit ribosomal RNA
Source: RNAcentral
AGUGAACGCUGGCGGUAGGCCUAACACAUGCAAGUCGAACGGCAGCACAGUAAGAGCUUGCUCUUACGGGUGGCGAGUGGCGGACGGGUGAGGAAUACAUCGGAAUCUACUUUUUCGUGGGGGAUAACGUAGGGAAACUUACGCUAAUACCGCAUACGACCUACGGGUGAAAGCAGGGGAUCUUCGGACCUUGCGCGAUUGAAUGAGCCGAUGUCGGAUUAGCUAGUUGGCGGGGUAAAGGCCCACCAAGGCGACGAUCCGUAGCUGGUCUGAGAGGAUGGACCGCCACACUGGAACUGAGACACGGUCCAGACUCCUACGGGAGGCAGCAGUGGGGAAUAUUGGACAAUGGGCGCAAGCCUGAUCCAGCCAUACCGCGUGGGUGAAGAAGGCCUUCGGGUUGGAAAGCCCUUUUGUUGGGAAAGAAAAGCAGCAGGUUAAUACCCCGCUGUUCUGACGGUACCCAAAGAAUAAGCACCGGCUAACUUCGUG